This 340-nucleotide long non-coding RNA is filed under the name Actinidia chinensis (golden kiwifruit). RNAcentral describes it as "long non-coding RNA (ACHI_LNC008418)". Lineage: Eukaryota; Viridiplantae; Streptophyta; Magnoliopsida; Ericales; Actinidiaceae. The record is from RNAcentral.
GACAGCCAAGAAGGUUUCUCUGAAGAGCUCCGGGAAGAUUGACAUGUGUCAAGCGGUUAUGUCUGCUAAGAACGAUCAAGUUCUUUGGAAGCCCAUCGAUCCAAAAUCAAAGGACAUGAAAACCAGGACUCCAACUAUGAAAAAUGACAAUUCAAAACCGGAGGAUGACAAAACCAGCACUCCAAUUGCGAAAAAUGACGAUCCGAAAGCGAAGGAUGACAAAGCCAAGACUACAGAAAAAGACGAUCCUGGCCGUUGGGCUCUGAAGACGGCCGGGGUUGAUUUCUAUGCCUUUUGGAAAAUGCAAGACGACCUUGACAUUUCACGUAUAUAUACAAAC